Molecule: unclassified non-coding RNA, 329 nt
Filed under: soil metagenome
Description: partial contains 5.8S ribosomal RNA, internal transcribed spacer 2, and large subunit ribosomal RNA
Rfam family: 5.8S ribosomal RNA (bases 1-120)
Source: RNAcentral
GAUGAAGAACGUAGUGAAAUGCGAUAAGUAAUGUGAAUUGCAGAAUUCAGUGAAUCAUCGAAUCUUUGAACGCACAUUGCGCCCCUUGGUAUCCCGAGGGGCAUGCCUGUUCGAGCGUCAUUUCACCACUCAAGCCUGGCUUGGUGUUGGGCGACGUCCCCUUUGGGGACGCGCCUCGAAACGCUCGGCGGCGUGGCACCGGCUUUAAGCGUAGCAGAAUCUUUCGCUUUGGAAGUCGGGGCCCCGUCUGCCGGAAGACCUACUCGCAAGGUUGACCUCGGAUCAGGCAGGGAUACCCGCUGAACUUAAGCAUAUCAAUAAGCGGAGGA